This 889-nucleotide long non-coding RNA is filed under the name Crocodylus porosus (Australian saltwater crocodile). Its description in RNAcentral is "lncRNA (ENSCPRG00005001489.1)". Lineage: Eukaryota; Metazoa; Chordata; Crocodylia; Crocodylidae. The record is from RNAcentral.
CGGGGCGCUGCUGAUUUUUAUUUUUAUUUUCGUUCUUUUUUUCCUCCCCCCCCGCCCUUUCAAGAGUUUCCUGGUUGCUUCUUGCAUUCAGAUGAGCUUAUCGUGAUUUUUUUUUUUUUUUCAAAUGUGAAGGUGCCCUGUUGGGAGUGAGCUAGCCAGGUUGGGAAGGAAGGAAACAGGGGCUUGAGGGUCUCUCCGGGCAUCCUGCACACGGGGUGGUGGGGGGGGGGGUGGAGCUGGGAAGUUAUUGUCAGGGAUUUUGCAAGGUCUUGUUUGCAGUUGAUGCAUCAAGGUCUGUCCCAGUACUUAUUGCAAUCUUGGAUGUGGAGAGCGCUGCUGGAUCUGGCUCAUUUAGGAAGUCAGAGUCCCUUUGGUUUAUGCUUCCAGGAAAUAGGAAAAGAGGCUUGGUGAGACACCUUAAUGGUUUCUGCCUCAGUCUUUUCAGAUUUAUAGACUAUCCAUAUGUUGCAAAUUAAAUAGAAGAUACAACUGAGAGUGUGCUUCUGCAUGGGAGCAUGCUUGUGAUAAUUCUUGUGUGACGACUUCUACUUGCUAGAGGAGAAGUGAAAGUUUAUCGGAUGCAAACACUGCUUUUUCCCAUAACCACAGUUGAAUGUAAGCUUCUGAUAAGUAUUUUUUUAAUCUUCAAAAAAACCCCAAAAGCUGUUUACCUUGGCUCCCACCUGACUCUUGAUGCUUGUUGUCCCGUUCUCCCCACCCCAUCCUAUUAGGAGGUCAUGUGCAGGUAACAUCUUGUCUUCGGGCCUAUAGUCAUUCUAGAUCUUCAUUUAGACUAGAACAGUAAUUGUCUGCUCUGGACUUUCUUCAAGAGCAUUAUAUCUAACAACUACUUUGAACAGAAAUUCUUUUUGCAUAGCCUUAAAUUAUC